This 468-nucleotide ribosomal RNA is filed under the name uncultured bacterium. RNAcentral describes it as "partial 16S ribosomal RNA". It matches the Rfam family "Bacterial small subunit ribosomal RNA", at positions 28 to 507 of the family's 1533-position model. The record is from RNAcentral.
GACGAACGCUGGCGGCGUGCUUAACACAUGCAAGUCGAACGGAAAGGCCCUGCUUUUGUGGGGUGCUCGAGUGGCGAACGGGUGAGUAACACGUGAGUAACCUGCCCUUGACUUUGGGAUAACUUCAGGAAACUGGGGCUAAUACCGGAUAGGAGCUCCUGCUGCAUGGUGGGGGUUGGAAAGUUUCGGCGGUUGGGGAUGGACUCGCGGCUUAUCAGCUUGUUGGUGGGGUAGUGGCUUACCAAGGCUUUGACGGGUAGCCGGCCUGAGAGGGUGACCGGCCACAUUGGGACUGAGAUACGGCCCAGACUCCUACGGGAGGCAGCAGUGGGGAAUAUUGCACAAUGAGCGGAAGCCUGAUGCAGCAACGCCGCGUGCGGGAUGACGGCCUUCGGGUUGUAAACCGCUUUCGCCUGUGACGAAGCGUGAGUGACGGUAAUGGGUAAAGAAGCACCGGCUAACUACGUA